Molecule: ribosomal RNA, 518 nt
Filed under: Faucicola osloensis
Lineage: Bacteria; Pseudomonadati; Pseudomonadota; Gammaproteobacteria; Moraxellales; Moraxellaceae
Description: Moraxella osloensis partial 16S ribosomal RNA
Rfam family: Bacterial small subunit ribosomal RNA
Source: RNAcentral
UGGGGAAUAUUGGACAAUGGGGGCAAUCCUGAUCCACCCAUGCCGCGUGUGUGAAGAAGGCCUUUUGGUUGUAAAGCACUUUAAUCAGGGAGGAGAGGUUAAUGGUUAAUACCCCUUAGACUUGACGGUACCUCCCCAAAAAACCCCGGCUAACUUUGUGCCAGCAGCCGCGGUAAUACAGAGGGGGCGAGCGUUUUUCGGAAUUAUUGGGCGUAAAGGGCUUGCAGGGGGGUUUUUAAAUCACAUGUGAAAUCCCCCGGCUUAACCUGGGAGGUUCAUUUGAAACUGGGGAAGCUAGAAUAUGGGAGGGGGAGGUAGAAUUCCAGGGUUAGCGGGGAAAUGGGUAAAAAUUGGGAGGAAUCCCGAUGGGGAAGGCAGCCUCCGGGCAUAAUAUUGACCUUGGGAUUGGAAAGGUGGGGGAGCAAACAGGAUUAAAUACCCUGGUAGUCCCCCCCGUAAAGGAUGUUUAUUAGCCGUUGGGGUCUCUGAGCCUUUAGUGGCGCAGCUAACGCGAUAAG